AAAAUACUUUUGACUGGUACUGUAUAUAUAUCAUUACAUGCUAAAUAUUAUGUUAAAUGUUUUGUUUUUUCGUUGCCCUAUGUGUGAACAGACCCUCACGCUUUGUGUGGUCACUGUUAUGUGUCUAUCUGAAACACUAUGAUGACUGUGUCUGGGGAGGAAGUGGAGACAUUCCUUAGGACUGUCAGGUAUCGGGCCUUCGUCCAGUCCACCUCAUUGUUUUGAGAAAUGGUCAUAUAAGGAGGGUAUACAAUGGCCAGACAAUGACAGAAAAGUGUAAAUAUACCAACACUGCCCUCUCUCCUCUUACUUUGAUUUGCACAGUCCCCUCCUCUCCCAUCCUGUCAGUCUCCUCCACCUGUCUCAUUCAUUUGUUACAUGGUGUGAUCCAUUUCCUCCCGGACCUCCCCUAUGCUAAAGACACUAGAGGCACCUACAGAGUACAGUUAUGUUUCAGUGUACAUAAAGGACUUUUGGCAGAUGGAACCUGUUAACGUCACAUUUGAAAUGAUGCAGACUUAGUCCCCAGCACUGUGAUGCAGAACUUCACAUUGUCACACUCGACAGAAAGCCGCAGCCUUAAUCCUUUGGUGUCUCCCCUAGUUUCCCUCCCACGUGGUCGUAGCAAACACACAGUAAAUAUACAUACGCGUUUUUAAGUUGACUGAAUUCAUUGUUUCUGUCAGCUACGUUUCAACUUGGAGCUCUUAGUUCGGUCUGGGUUGUAUUCAGUAGGGCACAAUGUUGAAAGUGUUUUAAAAGGUUAUGCAACAGAAAACAAUAUUGAAUGUUUCUUAUCGGACAGGUUUGGAUAGUACCUCCCCGUUUCGAAACCUUUCCUCCCGACUGAACAUGACCACGUUCAUUUCCCUAGUGUCUCCCUUAGUGCCAAUGUAUCAUCCUCUCAUCCAGUACCUACCCUCUGGGCACAGUUAUGACACAUCCAGCCACUGACGUGCCAGAUACACCGCAGUAUGCUAAACGUCCUCAUAGGAUGACUACACUACAUUGCUAAAGGACUGUGUGGGUGAAAGGCACAUAGCCACUGAUCGAUCAUAGUAACAUGGGUGGGUGUAUUGACCAAUCGUAGGCACAUGUGAGUGUUUUAGGCCAAUCGUCGUCAUUUGGGGAGGGUCUGUUUAUUUUGUCCUUUCUACCUCAUCUGAAUUGUUUUAAUUGAUGUUAAUUGUCUUUCCGAAAUAGGAAAAUAACAUGACCUGAAGUGCCAGGCUCAGUUCAUCUGUAUUUUUGUGGAAAUGUUGGUAGAUUUUAUUUCCUUAUUUUUUGGGGUUGUUUUUUUGCCAACCGAACAAUUAUAGUCCAAACACUCCUUACUCCCUCAACUAUACCCUGUGGUAUUAUUGUGUAAAUGUGCAUAGUUUCUUAUCUUUCCCAACAGUGUAAGAACUUACGUUCCUUCCAAGUCAAUGUCUAUGAAGCUGCAAGGCUUUUUAAUAAUACUAAGAGUGAGAAUAUUAAUUACAAGCCCUAUGUAGAUGUUUUCUAUGUUAAAGUUUACAAAGACACUACCGUUGCUCUAUUGAAGGCAGCACUGAGGGCAACCUGCAUAACUUUGUGUUGACUGCAGCAUCAUUGUAUUUAUGAGACAAUGAACCGUUAAAAUGUGUCUGUAAAAGUUUGAAUGGUUUAUCUGUAUGUGAUAUAAACAUAGUUCAGUGAUGGGAGGAGUAGUACGGCAAGAGGAUGAUUGAACUAUGACACACUACAGAAAGCACCAGGGUUGUGUUCAGUAGGGUACAAAGUAGCAAAAUGUUUUGCGAAGGGGGUAAAAAAAAUUGUUCUUACUGGUCAAGUUCAGGUAGUAGGCUACCUCCCAGUUUCACUGUUUUGUUUUCUCCCUACUGAACCAGACCACAACCAGACUCGUGUUGCCCCUGUUAAAUAAUAUUUCUAUAUGUUUUAAUGAAUUAGAAAUUAUGCAAUCUGUAUUUAGCAAUGACAGAGAAAGAUUUACACAAAUAAAUGAAUGACAAACUCAAACUGAAAAUAGGACAUUAAACUGCCUGACAGAGUUCCCCUAUUGCAUAACUUUGAAUUAUUUGUUUAAGUCAAUACUGCAGAUUGGGAAGGGUAUGUGGACAUGCACCUGGCACCUCUCAUUUUCCCUUUCUAGUUUUCUUGAACUCUGUUGUCAAUACUGUUUGGAUUUCUUGAAAGGAAACAAAUAAUUGAUGUGCUUUCUGUUGGUCUUUGGCUCUUUAAUGUUGUCCUCUGGUAUGGCACUGAUGGGCUUGCCUUGAAGAGAAGAGACUGUCUCCAUUUCAUAGAGGGCCAUGAUCAUAUGAUACCGUUUUGUCUAGUGGAGUAUAGGCCAGUCAGGUGAAGCAACUUUCGCCCUUGGACCAACGAAUACUUGGAUUUUAAUGAGUGAUUUUAAAAUGGUGUCCUUUCACAAACAUUUUUCAACGUUGAAUCCCUUUUCUGCACCUUAUCUCUUAUAUUGCCUCUGUUACUGAUGAUAGUUUUUUUUAUGCCUCAUCAUCAUUCAUGCCAAACUGUUUUCAUUCUCCUGUAUUUUUGUACCAGGUAAUUCCACAGAAACUGAAUUACGCUGAGACUCUGGUUUAAAAAAAAUAAAAAAAAUAUGCCAAACAAAAAACAUUUAUUUAAAAGUUUAAUAAAAAACCAUACAACUAUGCACAAUGACUAAUUUGAACAGUAAAUUACAAACAAAAAAAUAACAUUUCCUGGAAAAACUAUCUGCACAGUUCUUCCUGUAAAUAUUUUUUGUAAAAAUGUAUAAGUAGUCAUUGUGCAUAGAGGUUGUAUGGUUAAACUUUGAAAUUAAUGUUUUUUUGUUUGGUAUACAUUUUUAAAGUGAAAUCUCAGCGUAAUUCCAUUACAUGAAAUUGCCCGAUCCCAAUUACAAUUUUCCUUUCGUGCCAUCCCUUUUCUUUUGAAGAGGACAGGAGUGGGUGAAAAUAUAAAUAAUUGAUUUUAAGAUGUUCCAUUGUGAUAUAACACUAUUAUUUGGAGUUCACAUUUUACCUUUUAUUUUCUGUAGCAUGUAAUGUGUUAAUAUCCUUAGUAAAUAAAAACCUAUUACAAUUGUG
Salvelinus sp. IW2-2015 is the source of this 3074-nucleotide non-coding RNA. Lineage: Eukaryota; Metazoa; Chordata; Actinopteri; Salmoniformes; Salmonidae. The record is from RefSeq and is a predicted model, not a curated record.